RNAcentral lists this ribosomal RNA (298 nucleotides) under uncultured alpha proteobacterium SUR-FREE-21. RNAcentral's name for it is "partial 16S ribosomal RNA". It matches the Rfam family "Bacterial small subunit ribosomal RNA", at positions 8 to 336 of the family's 1533-position model. Lineage: Bacteria; Pseudomonadati; Pseudomonadota; Alphaproteobacteria. The record is from RNAcentral.
AGAGUUUGAUCAUGGCUCACAACGGACGCUGGCGGCAGGCCUAACACAUGCAAGUCUAGCGCACCUUCGGGUGAGCGGCGGACGGGUUAGUAACGCGUGGGAACGUACCCUUUUCUACGGAAUAGCCUUUGGAAACGAAGAGUAAUACCGUAUACGCCCUUUGGGGGAAAGAUUUAUCGGGGAAGGAUCGGCCCGCGUUAGAUUAGAUAGUUGGUGGGGUUACGGCCUUCCAAGUCUACCAUCUAUAGCUGGUUUUAGAGGAUGAUCAGCAACACUGGGACUGAGACGCGGCCCAAAC